UACAGAGGGUGCGAGCGUUGCUCGGAAUCACUGGGCGUAAAGGGUGCGUAGGCGGGUCUUUAAGUCAGUGGUGAAAGCCCGGAGCUCAACUCCGGAACUGCCAUUGAAACUGUAAAACUUGAGGAUGAGAGAGGUGAGUGGAAUUCCCAGUGUAGAGGUGAAAUUCGUAGAUAUUCGCAAGAACACCAGUGGCGAAGGCGGCUCACUGGCCCGAUACUGACGCUGAGGCACGAAAGCGUGGGGAGCAAACAGG
This 253-nucleotide ribosomal RNA is filed under the name uncultured bacterium. RNAcentral's name for it is "partial 16S ribosomal RNA". It matches the Rfam family "Bacterial small subunit ribosomal RNA", at positions 524 to 776 of the family's 1533-position model. The record is from RNAcentral.